This 85-nucleotide transfer RNA is filed under the name Phycisphaerae bacterium. RNAcentral describes it as "tRNA-Phe". Lineage: Bacteria; Pseudomonadati; Planctomycetota; Phycisphaerae. The record is from RNAcentral. RNAcentral also lists the same sequence under 1 other name.
GGUUUCUGGAUGCUCGGUGGACGAGCGCAGAUUUGAAGGAUCUGUUGUCAAAAUGGCAACGCAGGUUCGAUUCCUGCCCAGACCA